This 516-nucleotide ribosomal RNA is filed under the name uncultured Glomus. RNAcentral's name for it is "SSU rRNA". It matches the Rfam family "Eukaryotic small subunit ribosomal RNA", at positions 579 to 1099 of the family's 1831-position model. The record is from RNAcentral. Lineage: Eukaryota; Fungi; Glomeromycota; Glomeromycetes; Glomerales; Glomeraceae.
GUAUUCCGCUCCAUAGCGUAUAUUAAAGUUGUUGCAGUUAAAAAGCUCGUAGUUGAAUUUCGGGGUUAGUAGGCUGGUCAUGCCACCGGUAUGUACUGGUCUUUCUGAUUCCUCCUUCCUGAUGAACUGUAAUGCCAUUAAUUUGGUGUUGCAGGGAAUCUGGACUGUUACUUUGAAAAAAUUAGAGUGUUUAAAGCAGGCUAACGCUUGAAUACAUUAGCAUGGAAUAAUGAAAUAGGACGUUCGAUCCUAUUUUGUUGGUUUCUAGGAUUGACGUAAUGAUUAAUAGGGAUAGUUGGGGGCAUUAGUAUUCAAUUGUCAGAGGUGAAAUUCUUGGAUUUAUUGAAGACUAACUACUGCGAAAGCAUUUGCCAAGGAUGUUUUCAUUAAUCAAGAACGAAAGUUAGGGGAUCGAAGACGAUCAGAUACCGUCGUAGUCUUAACCAUAAACUAUGCCGACUAGGGAUCGGAUGAUGUUAAUUUUUUAAUGACUCAUUCGGCACCUUACGGGAAACA